Salvia miltiorrhiza (redroot sage) is the source of this 1287-nucleotide long non-coding RNA. RefSeq lists it as uncharacterized. The record is from RefSeq and is a predicted model, not a curated record. The transcript has 2 exons. NCBI's taxonomy places the organism in Eukaryota, Viridiplantae, Streptophyta, Magnoliopsida, Lamiales, Lamiaceae.
CAAUUAAUUUCCUUCAAGCAAAUUCCUAAACAAUUGCAGUAGACGAAUUGCCAAGACACUCAAUCACCAAUGUCAAUUCUCUCUCUAGAGUGGGGAGGGGGGUAACAGUUCCCAAAUUUUGUUUUGGUUAACAAAGCCACGAGGCAUCCAUGGUUCUUAUCACCGUCGAAGGCAUCCGCGUUUAGCUUAAUGUUACUUACCAUCCUAAUCGCGUGAUACACAUCAUCUAAGUCCUUAGUCUCCGUUCACGGAAUCUAUUCAUCCAGUUUGUUCGAAUUGAAGGAGCAGCUGCGGCAGCUCUUCGCCGUCGACCAUUCGACUUCGACUAAGGAAAAGAGAGAGAGAACACAAGGGGCAUGAGAGGGAAAGCUUGCCGGAGGAGACGGCACUUGGGCGGGAGGCGAUCGUUGUGAUCGUUCACGACGAAUAGGAGGGAAGGUAGCUGGUGUGUAGGGAGAGAGGGAGAGAAGAAAUUUAAGGAUUUUUGUGAGAGAGAAAAAAGGAGAUUAGAGUUCAUGUUGGGGAGGGGUGCCGGGUCAGGCCCAGCCUGUGCCCAGAUCCACGCUUCAGCCCUGAUUCGACCCAUCUCUUGGGUGAGGUUGGUCUCACCCAAAUUUUUGCGUAAAUAAAAAUGUCAAUAUUAUAUUAAUAAUAUAUGGCACCAUGGCAUUGAACAGAUCCCCGGCAAUGGACAUCAACAAGUUAGUCUUUGAACACAAUAAGAAGUAUAGCAUAUAAAUAGUCUCUUCUUUUUGGCAACAAAUUCUAAACAUGGAACUGUAAUCAUAACCUAACAAUGACAAAAUCCAGUCAUCAUACCACAAAAUUUCAAUCUUCUACUUAGUUUGGUAUACACCUAACUUCCCCAAUAUAAACAAGACAAACUCUGUAUGGUAAAACUACAUGUAACUCACCUUUGUUUAAUGAUCAACAAUCACCACAUAUAGUAAUCUUUUUUAUUGGUUUUGGAUAUUUAUGGUGUGAAAUUAGUAAUCCCUACUGGUUGAGACAAAAAUUGUCAAAUGUUCAACAAUGAUGUAUUCUUCAGCAGAGGCUCGGAUAGAAUUGAGACAACUUCUUAAACUCUGCGAGGUUUUUAAUCAACUGAGGUCCAUCUUGUGCAACUGCAUCCUUCCGGUCAGUGUUGCAACCCCACACGUGGAUCGCAAGCCUCCGACACUUUGGCGAGGGCUGCCUUAAAUAAGUGCGAUACCACUCGAUGAUAUCUUCCUUUUUGAUAUCUUUCAGUUCCUCAGCUUCCUUUUCGGACAAGUCAAACAUAUACCU